Molecule: transfer RNA, 76 nt
Filed under: Microbacterium sp.
Lineage: Bacteria; Bacillati; Actinomycetota; Actinomycetes; Micrococcales; Microbacteriaceae
Also listed under: 57 other names
Description: tRNA-Ala
Rfam family: tRNA
About the family: Transfer RNA (tRNA) molecules are approximately 80 nucleotides in length.
Source: RNAcentral
GGGGCUGUAGCUCAGUUGGGAGAGCGCGUCGUUCGCAAUGACGAGGUCAGGGGUUCGAUUCCCCUCAGCUCCACCA